UACGGGGGGGGCAAGCGUUGUUCGGAAUUACUGGGCGUAAAGGGCUCGUAGGCGGCCAACUAAGUCGGACGUGAAAUCCCCAGGCUUAACCUGGGAACUGCAUUCGAGACUGCAUUGCUAGAGUAUGGGAGAGGGAAGUGGAAUUUCCGGUGUAGCGGUGAAAUGCGUAGAUAUCGGAAGGAACAUCAGUGGCGAAAGCGACUUCCUGGACCAAUACUGACGCUCAUGUGCGAAAGCGUGGGGAGCAAACAGG
Molecule: ribosomal RNA, 253 nt
Filed under: uncultured bacterium
Lineage: Bacteria
Description: partial 16S ribosomal RNA
Rfam family: Bacterial small subunit ribosomal RNA
Source: RNAcentral